CCUUGUGGAGGAGGACGCCGAAGGUGGGGCUAAUGACUGGGGUGAAGUCGUAACAAGGUAGCCGUACCGGAAGGUGCGGCUGGAUCACCUCCUAACAGGGAGACAACAAAAUGUAAAUAUUAAUUUUGUCACCUUAGGUCGAUCGGUAUCUCAGAUUCUUAUUUUAAGAAUUUCAGUUUCUAAGUUUUUUCUAGGUCACACCCAUCACUUUUUCCUGGGCCAUUAGCUCAGGUGGUUAGAGCGCACCCCUGAUAAGGGUGAGGUCCCUGGUUCAAGUCCAGGAUGGCCCAUAUCUCUAUGUUGGGGGUAUAGCUCAGUUGGUAGAGCGCCUGCUUUGCAAGCAGGAUGUCAGCGGUUCGAGUCCGCUUACCUCCACUGAAUACCACCUCUUACAUGUAUUCAAAGACGGAAAUUGUUUUGAGUCGUGUCCUAAUUUGCUCUGAGCGAAUCUAGCUUCCUAUUUUAUUCAAUAAAUAAGAUGCUGGACUCAUUGAAUUUUUUUUCAUUGUUUUCAGAGAACCUUGACAACUGCAUAGAUUAUUUUUGAAGACAAUAAGCAUCUUUAAUGAUGCAGAUUUAUUAUUUGUGCGAAUGCAUUAAAUAACAAUUCUAUUAAGCUGAUGCUUCAAUUAUUGAAGUUAUUGGUCAAGCUACAAAGGGCUCACGGAGGAUACCUAGGCACACAGAGGC
Molecule: unclassified non-coding RNA, 690 nt
Filed under: uncultured Prochlorococcus sp.
Lineage: Bacteria; Bacillati; Cyanobacteriota; Cyanophyceae; Synechococcales; Prochlorococcaceae
Description: partial may contain 16S ribosomal RNA, 16S-23S ribosomal RNA intergenic spacer, and 23S ribosomal RNA
Rfam family: Bacterial small subunit ribosomal RNA (bases 1-95)
Source: RNAcentral